This 728-nucleotide ribosomal RNA is filed under the name uncultured bacterium. RNAcentral describes it as "bacterial SSU rRNA". It matches the Rfam family "Bacterial small subunit ribosomal RNA", at positions 772 to 1500 of the family's 1533-position model. The record is from RNAcentral.
ACAGGAUUAGAUACCCUGGUAGUCCACGCCGUAAACGAUGUCGACUUGGAGGCUGUUCCCUUGAGGAGUGGCUUCCGGAGCUAACGCGUUAAGUCGACCGCCUGGGGAGUACGGCCGCAAGGUUAAAACUCAAAUGAAUUGACGGGGGCCCGCACAAGCGGUGGAGCAUGUGGUUUAAUUCGAUGCAACGCGAAGAACCUUACCUGGCCUUGACAUCCAGAGAACUUUCCAGAGAUGGAUUGGUGCCUUCGGGAACUCUGAGACAGGUGCUGCAUGGCUGUCGUCAGCUCGUGUUGUGAAAUGUUGGGUUAAGUCCCGCAACGAGCGCAACCCUUAUCCUUUGUUGCCAGCGAUUCGGUCGGGAACUCAAAGGAGACUGCCGGUGAUAAACCGGAGGAAGGUGGGGAUGACGUCAAGUCAUCAUGGCCCUUACGGCCAGGGCUACACACGUGCUACAAUGGCGCAUACAAAGAGAAGCGACCUCGCGAGAGCAAGCGGACCUCAUAAAGUGCGUCGUAGUCCGGAUCGGAGUCUGCAACUCGACUCCGUGAAGUCGGAAUCGCUAGUAAUCGUGGAUCAGAACGCCACGGUGAAUACGUUCCCGGGCCUUGUACACACCGCCCGUCACACCAUGGGAGUGGGUUGCAAAAGAAGUAGGUAGCUUAACCUUCGGGAGGGCGCUUACCACUUUGUGAUUCAUGACUGGGGUGAAGUCGUAACAAGGUACC